GAUGAACGCUGGCGGCGUGCCUAAUACAUGCAAGUCGAGCGAACAGACGAGGAGCUUGCUCCUUUGACGUUAGCGGCGGACGGGUGAGUAACACGUAGGUAACCUACCUAUAAGACUGGGAUAACUUCGGGAAACCGGAGCUAAUACCGGAUAAUAUUUCGAACCGCAUGGUUCGAUAGUGAAAGAUGGCUUUGCUAUCACUUAUAGAUGGACCUGCGCCGUAUUAGCUAGUUGGUAAGGUAACGGCUUACCAAGGCAACGAUACGAAGCCGACCUGAGAGGGUGAUCGGCCACACUGGAACUGAGACACGGUCCAGACUCCUACGGGAGGCAGCAGUAGGGAAUCUUCCGCAAUGGGCGAAAGCCUGACGGAGCAACGCCGCGUGAGUGAUGAAGGUCUUCGGAUCGUAAAACUCUGUUAUUAGGGAAGAACAAACGUGUAAGUAACUGUGCACGUCUUGACGGUACCUAAUCAGAAAGCCACGGCUAACUACGUG
RNAcentral lists this ribosomal RNA (497 nucleotides) under uncultured bacterium. Its description in RNAcentral is "partial 16S ribosomal RNA". It matches the Rfam family "Bacterial small subunit ribosomal RNA", at positions 28 to 507 of the family's 1533-position model. The record is from RNAcentral.